AUGGUAUCAUGAUUAGUGAAAAAAUAAAUGAAAAUAAACUCAACGUCAAAUUCUUAUGUAAAUGAAAAUGAUAUAUACCAGAAAAGGAAAAGGUAGAUAUAAUUAGAUUGAAUUGUACUCAUAAGUUAUAUGAAGCUUAUCUGGUAAAGCUGCUGAAUGAAACCUGAAAAGAACAAUGGUUGGUAAAUCAACUGCAAAUCAUACGAACAGAAUAUUUGUCCGAACCAACAUGCGAAGCAAGGAAUACUACCCGCUCAAUGGUUCACGCUUGACAGCCACGAGGAAGGUCCAGCCGAGGUCGUUGCUGCCAGGAACCUCCGCUAGCUCCCACAUCCAUCGCCGGCCU
This 346-nucleotide long non-coding RNA is filed under the name Oryza brachyantha (malo sina). RNAcentral's name for it is "long non-coding RNA (OBRA_LNC003563)". The record is from RNAcentral. Lineage: Eukaryota; Viridiplantae; Streptophyta; Magnoliopsida; Poales; Poaceae.